Non-coding RNA from Podarcis lilfordi (Lilford's wall lizard), 70 nucleotides. NCBI's taxonomy places the organism in Eukaryota, Metazoa, Chordata, Lepidosauria, Squamata, Lacertidae. The record is from the annotation of a GenBank genome assembly.
GGAAGUAGCUCAGUGGUAGAGCAUCUGCUUGGCAUGUAGAAGGUCUCAGACUCCAUCCCUGGCAUCUCCU